Nicotiana tabacum (common tobacco) is the source of this 758-nucleotide non-coding RNA. NCBI's taxonomy places the organism in Eukaryota, Viridiplantae, Streptophyta, Magnoliopsida, Solanales, Solanaceae. The record is from RefSeq and is a predicted model, not a curated record.
GUACUCCCUCGGUUCACUUUGCUGUACUUUUGCAGGGAGACCAUGUCACGUUCUUAAAUGUGUAUAAAGGAUUCAUUUAGUCUAAUAAAUCUUCGCAGUGGUGUCACAAGAAUUUUUUAAAUUAUCAUGCCAUGGUAUUGCCAUUCAGUCACAAUGGGAUGUACAUGACUGUCAGAACGUCUCAAGAAGUUCAUAUUCAUCCUUCAUCUGUGCUGUUCAGGUAUUUUUAUAUCAUAGGUUUCAAUGUAUUAUUACUUCACCUUUGCUAUACUCUCUAAAGAAAGGUGCUACAUUUCUUUAUUUUUAUGCGAAUUUUUGAGGGCUUUCCAUGUGGGCUUCAAACUCCGGGGAGUUUAGGCUCGCCCCACUGCCUCUCUCCCAACUAAAAUACCAGGUUUUGUUUGCGGUAGUUUUUGAACCGUGAGACAUGUGCCUUGCUUACACGUCACGUGUUUUGUCCUUACCACUGAACCAAAACCCGAGAGCUAAGAAGAGGCUAUACUUGUUGAGUUGAAUAAAUAGUUAACAAAUAGUGAAUAUUCCAAAUUGUUGCAUCCUAUUAUUGCAUGGUUUGGUUAGGAAUUGGUUCUUUAUUGUCGCCAUCUUUCCUUCGUAUAUGUACCUGCGUGCAUCGACGCUGAACAUCUUUUUUUUUUUUUUGCUUUGAUCAGCGAAAGCAUGGCUGAACUUAUUUCGUAACUGCAUGUUCAUGUCCCGCACGAACACAGUUUCUACUCGAAACGGAUCUUGUACUAACA